RNAcentral lists this ribosomal RNA (491 nucleotides) under uncultured bacterium. Its description in RNAcentral is "partial 16S ribosomal RNA". It matches the Rfam family "Bacterial small subunit ribosomal RNA", at positions 29 to 507 of the family's 1533-position model. The record is from RNAcentral.
AUGAACGCUAGCUACAGGCUUAACCCAUGCCAGUCGAGGGGAAACGACAUCGAAAGCUUGCUUUUGAUGGGCGUCGACCGGCGCACGGGUGAGUAACGCGUAUCCAACCUGCCCAUCACUUGGGAAUAACCUUGCGAAAGUAAGACUAAUACCCAAUGAUAUCCCACGAAGGCAUCGGAAUGGGAUUAAAGAUUUAUCGGUGAUGGAUGGGGAUGCGUCUGAUUAGCUUGUUGGCGGGGUAACGGCCCACCAAGGCAACGAUCAGUAGGGGUUCUGAGAGGAAGGUCCCCCACAUUGGAACUGAGACACGGUCCAAACUCCUACGGGAGGCAGCAGUGAGGAAUAUUGGGCAAUGGGCGAGAGCCUGAACCAGCCAAGUAGCGUGCAGGAAGACGGCCCUAUGGGUUGUAAACUGCUUUUAUAAGGGAAUAAAGUGGGUCACGUGUGACUUUUUGCAUGUACCUUAUGAAUAAGGACCGGCUAAUUCCGUG